Molecule: transfer RNA, 77 nt
Filed under: Bacteroidota bacterium
Lineage: Bacteria; Pseudomonadati; Bacteroidota
Description: Bacteroidetes bacterium (marine metagenome) tRNA-Arg
Rfam family: tRNA
About the family: Transfer RNA (tRNA) molecules are approximately 80 nucleotides in length. Their secondary structure includes four short double-helical elements and three loops (D, anti-codon, and T loops).
Source: RNAcentral
GGGGCAUUAACUCACUGGAUUAGAGAUUAACGCUACGAACGUUAAAGUAGUAGGUUCGAUUCCUACAUGCCCCUCCA